GACGAACGCUGGCGGCGUGCCUAAUACAUGCAAGUCGAGCGGAGUAAAAGCGUGCUUGCACGGUUUUUAUUUAGCGGCGAACGGGUGAGUAACACGUAGGUAACCUGGCCAUAAGACAGGGAUAACGCACGGAAACGUGAGCUAAAACCAGAUAGGCAUUUUCCACGCAUGAGGGAGAUGAGAAAGGCGGAGCAAUCUGCCGCUUAUGGAUGGACCUGCGUCGCAUUAGCUAGUUGGAGUGGUAAAGGCACACCAAGGCGACGAUGCGUAGCCGACCUGAGAGGGUGAGCGGCCACACUGGGACUGAGACACGGCCCAGACUCCUACGGGAGGCAGCAGUAGGGAAUCUUCCGCAAUGGACGAAAGUCUGACGAGCAACGCCGCGUGAGUGAAGAA
Molecule: ribosomal RNA, 396 nt
Filed under: uncultured bacterium
Lineage: Bacteria
Description: bacterial SSU rRNA
Rfam family: Bacterial small subunit ribosomal RNA
Source: RNAcentral